AUUGAACGCUGGCGGCAUGCCUUACACAUGCAAGUCGAACGGCAGCGCGGACUUCGGUCUGGCGGCGAGUGGCGAACGGGUGAGUAAAGCAUCGGAACGUACCCGGAAGUGGGGGAUAACGUAGCGAAAGUUACGCUAAUACAGCAUAUUCUGUGCGCAGGAAAGAGGGGGAUCUUCGGACCUCUUGCUUUCGGAGCGGCCGAUGUCAGAUUAGCUAGUUGGUGGGGUAAAGGCCUACCAAGGCGACGAUCUGUAGCGGGUGUGAGAGGAUGAGCCGCCACACUGGGACUGAGACACGUCCCAGACUCCUACGGGAGGCAGCAGUGGGGAAUUUUGGACAAUGGGCGCAAGCCUGAUCCAGCCAUGCCGCGUGAGUGAAGAAGGCCUUCGGGUUGUAAAGCUCUUUCGGCCGGGAAGAAAUCGCACUGGUUAAUACCUGGUGUGGAUGACGGUACCUUGAUAAGAAGCACCGGCUAACUACGUGCCAGCCGCCGCUGUAA
RNAcentral lists this ribosomal RNA (500 nucleotides) under uncultured bacterium. Its description in RNAcentral is "partial 16S ribosomal RNA". It matches the Rfam family "Bacterial small subunit ribosomal RNA", at positions 30 to 523 of the family's 1533-position model. The record is from RNAcentral.